GUAAACCUUCAAAUACCUCUACUUUUGUUAUUCAUUCUGAAUAGAUCAUGUUUACUCUUUUAUUUAUGCAUACCUCCUAGGAUAUUUAUACCUCAUUCACAUACCGCACAAUACAGUACAUGCCCCAUAGUUCUAGGACCAAAGAUCCACGGUACUGUUCAAAGUUUGAAUGAAAUGCGCUUUAUGGUCAUCGCUCCAUGCUCGUAAACCUGAACAGCCCUUGGUUUGUUGCAUCUACUGUAAAUGUCGGGGUAUGUUUAUGCUUUUUCUCACCAAGAAACCAAAUGAUUCAGACGAAAGCAUUGUGCCAAAAUGAUUUGUGAUAGUUCUGUGCCAAGCAGAGUUAAAAUUUUUUGGACCAUGCCUUUGUAGGCGACUAAUGUCACUGGACUAUUAUCAAAGAUACAAAUGUUAAAUCAGAGCACCUGAGGAUAAAUCCUCUUCCUCUGACUGGAUGCACUUGAGAGGGCUGGGCCCCGUUUACCUUUACCUCAUGAUGAUAAUGGACAUGUCCAUUCCACUUGUAAGUUGUUCUAGUGAGCCGGGGGUGAGGGCAAGAGGAAAUGUCCUCUUUUAAAGCGUUACCAUCACAUGUCCGCCUUUUUUGACUGCACAUGAAUUACCUCUUAUUUCAGCACAAUAUUGCCGCGUGGAUUUUCAGGAUGCUUGGUGCUGGCUCUUCCAGAGAAGUAGCCUCUGGGAGUAUCCUUUCAGACUGGUGGUUUAAAGCAGUGAUUCCCAACUGAGCAAAACCUGUUCCCCAAUAAAGAUCGAGUGAAGAUGAAGAAAUGUGAGGUGUAAAGUUAACAAAAAAUAAAUCCGGAAAAAGCUGCAAAAUGAUUAACUAGUAUCAAAGUGAGAAAAUGGUUGGAAAGCUUGAUGGUAGGCCAAUGGCAUGCAAUGUAGUUACAACUUUAAUCUGUUGUUUCUACACAAAUUUAAAUGAAUACUUAUAAUUUAAAUGUUAUAUGAUGUCCCUGAAAAUCACAUUUAAACUGUUCACUACCCUUGUACUAAUUUUUGUAUGAAAUAGAUUUUUUUUUUUUUCCCCACUUUUUAAAAGGUGGUGGUGGUGGUGGUGGUGAUGGGGGGGGGGGUAAAAUAUCUGAGGAUAUUCUGAGGAAUCAAUGGUGGAGUCACCAGAGACAGUCUUGCAUUUCAGAUUUUCAACAUCAUUUGUAUCAUUUCAAGAUGGGAUUUCAUUUAAUUUGGGUUACAAUAUCACAGUUGUCACCUCCUUUUUAAAUCUUUGUUUUCUUGGUUUCCAUGGUGACACGUACCCACUUUCUCUGGAUAAAAUCGUAGACUGUAUACAAAAGACAGACUUGGCUAACAUGAUGGCAUCCACUGUUAUGUGAAUCUCGCAAAAACCACAUUUUUGAUGAGGGGCAGGUCAGAUUGUGAAUCUUACUAUUUGGCUAACGAGUAGUUAAUCAUAAAUCAUUAGCCAAUGAGCGUACCACGGAUAGGCCUCCAUUUAAAAACAUGGUAUGUACAAGAUUUAUAAAAUGGACUUUAGUAUGACUUGAGACAGGUGGCUGAGCACAAACUUAGGAGGAAAGACAAGACAGCCAUUUCCUCACAUAUUUCUGAAGGACCAGAAGCCUUUUUUAGAACUAUAGCUAUCGCCAUCUAGUGGCCUUUGGAUAGAAUGCAGGUUUAAGGCACUGACGUAUCUGCUUCGUUUUUCCAUUCAAAAGCUACGUCCAUGUUUCAUUAUACUCUGUGGUGAAAAUUCUGCUUCUGACAAAUGACUCACAAAUUUGCGCUCGGUCACAAUUCAUGUCUAUGAAUAAAAAUGUAAAAAACACAAUCGAUCAAGAAGACAAAAAUUAGCCGCUAUGUUUUUUGGGAUUUUUCUUUGACAGUUUCUGGUUUGGUGCGAGACCAGGCUGUAGUACAUGAUGGAUGAACUGUUAAAUUGUUUGCCAAAACCAUAGCCAAACAGUUGAAUGGCAGUAUGGAUAAACAAAUAAAACUGAAUGGGUAAACAAAGGAUGUAAAGGACACCUUAAACUGCUAGCUAAAAUUAUUUUUCCAAUUUUUAUAAAACAUCUGUUAUUUGACUAAAAGUACAGGUAGCAGAUAAAUUGUUAGCUAAUAGCUUGGAUUGAAUAGUUAAAAUAGCCAGAUGGAAUGUCAAAAAAAUUAAAAUGUAGUAGUAGUAAUAGUAGUAGUAAUAGCUACAGGUAGCGAAUGAAUGGCGGGAACAUCGUGAAAUAGGUUGGAAUCACUGGUUUAAACAAAUGCAUGACAGGAUUGUGGAUGUAGCUAUUAGCACAUUUAACCACUGCUGCUUUGACUACAACACCCAGUUUCAACCAGUAAAGUAGAACAUUUUUUUUCCUCUUCUUCUCAGUAUUACUCUUUGACAUGUUUGUUCAUGUUGCAUCGGGUUUUAUUUUUUAAUUAAGAUUACAGAAUUCUAUCUUUAAGAUCCUUAGGUCUUCACUCUUAAAGAGGAAAAAAAUGUAUUUUAAACCUUUUUUUUUUUUUAAUUUUGUUGCAUGCUUUAAAAAGUCUAUGUAUUAUACUGAUGUCUCUUUAGAUAGAUGAUAAACUGAGAUGGAGUGGGUAGCUGAUUAUUGGGGUGGUGUUUCCAAAAUGGAUACCCAAAAAUGCGUGUGUGUUUGAGCGCGCGAGUGUGUGUUAGGAUUGCGUUGGAUGGAAUUAACCGUUGACUUUUGUGAUUGUAUUUCCUGUUCUCUAGAGGCUCUGCAAAGCACCCACUGUUUGGGUAGCCAUACUUUGAAUCCACAGAAACAACCGGCAGAGUUUUGACUAGCGUGACCCUCGACCGUUAGUAAUGAAUUUUCCUCAACUCCCUCUAAAAUGCUUUAUAUGAGCGGGCAUAUAGGAAUGCUGUCCUUUCAUGCUGAAGUGAUGUAAAAACCUUCCCUGCUCAAAUUUAAGAUGAGAAAUCCUUUUAGUAGGUGUGAGGAACAGCACAAACUAAAAAAAAUCGCCUCCCCUUCUUGAAUUCGAACCCGACAGCGUGCAGGGAUGGCCGCUGAGCACAUGAUCAGUCGACUGUGGCCCUGCUCUGCGUUGCUUUUUGUUUUGUUUUUUUGUUUCUUUGUGCUACCAUUUUAUUUCUGGCCUCCCACAAUUUAACAGGAGAGAACAAAGCAAAGCCAGGUGUGCGAGGUCAUAGACCUGCUUUUAAAUGAUUGUAUACGCUUAAGAAAAGAACGAGGGGGAAAAAAAGGGGUUGGGAUGUGUUUAGAAAGGAAAAAGACAAAACUCAGGUAGUUCUCAGCAGCGCUGUGCUGCAGGUGUCUCAUUGAAUCGUGUAGUGAUAAUGUAGUGACUUUUUUCUCCCCACCCCCCACUGUUAUGAUCUCUGUACUAGUCUGAUUCUUUUUGUGUGUCCACUUGCAUAUAUAAAACAAAUAAUUUCUCAAUUUGAAAAUAAUGCUUUCAAUUUGUACCCUGAUUUUAUUUUUCUUUCCCCUCUGGUUCAAGUUUUGGUUUGUUUAUUUUUAUCUUUAACAAAAAGUACAACUAUUCACACCACUUGAUGCUCAUUGGCCCUUUUAGAAUGUAUUUUGUGAAGAAAAGGCUUAAAUGGCAUCUUGCUGCUCACUCGCCGGCGCCAUCUGCUGGUGGCAGAUACACGACACGGCAGAGACCACAGAAAAUCUGUGUUACCACCGGCCGAGGUGGGAGCCGUCUCGUCCUGUCAGCUGUAUCCUGUUCUUCCAGCAGCUGGUUGUUGCGUGUCAAGUGGGCGCCAUGUGCGUGUGUCUGCGUGUUUGCGCUGCAUCUGUGUCGUCUGUGCAGAAAUCCACUGAAUGUAUCCUCCUCGCAGUCCAAGAGCUGGGGUGAGCCAGCGUGGCCAGCUGAGUUUAGAUGGGUGCUGCUGGUGCUUUCUCAUCCACGCUGCAGUGUGUGUUGUUAUCAGUUCAAUCUCAGUGUGUGUGUUUUUACACAUGUGUGCACACACAUGCACGUUGUAAUGGAUGGAAGUGCAAAUGUCAGGUCUUCAGUCUAAAUAAGGCAUCGGAGACUAUAAGAUAACGGCCACGUGCUGCUCUCUCUGCACUCUGUGGACUUUAAACAUUUCCUAUGCAGUUUUUUUUGGGGGGUUUUCUUUGUUUACACUUAAAUAAAGUUGUGUUUCUUUGACUUAAAUCUCCUGUGAGUGGUUUUUUGUUUUGUUUUUUUUGCUCUUAGGCCACGCUAAAACACUUGAGGAUUGCUUCACACAGCCCUGUUUCAUCACAUGUGGGCCGGCCCGAUGAAAUUCUUUUAAAAUAAUUUUUUUUCCUUUUGAGAUUUUUGGUUUUUGUUUAGUGAGCCACCCAUUUUCAAAGCUUGACACUACACAUUCAAUAAUCAGUGAAACCUUGACACAACCACUGUUAGUACUGCAACCGAGACCUCACUCUGAUAACACUACAGCUAACAACUGCUUCCUAAUGAAAAAACACAAUAUUCAUGCCCAGUUCUGUGCAGUUCUCAAACGGUGUGGCUCAGACGUCCACUGAGCCUUUUGUCGACCAAUCCUGGCUUACUUCCCCAGACAGUAUAUUGGUAUUUACAGUGUAUGCAGUCCAGUGGAAAAACUAAGCACACCCAACAAUUCAGUAGCUUGUAGCACCACUUUAUCAGCAAUAACAUCAACUAAUC
This is a long non-coding RNA of Astatotilapia calliptera (eastern happy), 4632 nucleotides long. NCBI's taxonomy places the organism in Eukaryota, Metazoa, Chordata, Actinopteri, Cichliformes, Cichlidae. The record is from Ensembl.